RNAcentral lists this ribosomal RNA (468 nucleotides) under uncultured bacterium. RNAcentral describes it as "partial 16S ribosomal RNA". It matches the Rfam family "Bacterial small subunit ribosomal RNA", at positions 28 to 507 of the family's 1533-position model. The record is from RNAcentral.
GACGAACGCUGGCGGCGUGCUUAACACAUGCAAGUCGAACGGAAAGGCCCUGCUUUUGUGGGGUGCUCGAGUGGCGAACGGGUGAGUAACACGUGAGUAACCUGCCCUUGACUUUGGGAUAACUUCAGGAAACUGGGGCUAAUACCGGAUAGGAGCUCCUGCUGCAUGGUGGGGGUUGGAAAGUUUCGGCGGUUGGGGAUGGACUCGCGGCUUAUCAGCUUGGUGGUUGGGUAGUGGCUUACCAAGGCUUUGACGGGUAGCCGGGCUGGGAGGGUGACCGGCCCAGAUUGGACUGAGAUACGGCCCAGACUCCUACGGGAGGCAGCAGUGGGGAAUAUUACACAAUGGGCGGAAGCCUGAUGCAGCAACGCCGCGUGCGGGAUGACGGCCUUCGGGUUGUAAACCGCUUUCGCCUGUGACGAAGCGUGAGUGACGGUAAUGGGUAAAGAAGCACCGGCUAACUACGUG